ACAGGGAUUGCCCUAGUAACGGCGAGUGAAGCGGCAACAGCUCAAAUUUGAAAUCUGGCUCUUUCAGAGUCUGAGUUGUAAUUUGCAGAGGGCGCUUUGGCGUUGGCAGCGGUCCAAGUUCCUUGGAACAGGACGUCACAGAGGGUGAGAAUCCCGUACGUGGUCGCUGGCCUUCGCCGUGUAAAGCCCCUUCGACGAGUCGAGUUGUUUGGGAAUGCAGCUCUAAAUGGGAGGUAAAUUUCUUCUAAAGCUAAAUACUGGCCAGAGACCGAUAGCGCACAAGUAGAGUGAUCGAAAGAUGAAAAGCACUUUGGAAAGAGAGUCAAAUAGCACGUGAAAUUGUUGAAAGGGAAGCGCUUGCAGCCAGACUUGCCUGUAGUUGCUCAUCCGGGCUUUUGCCCGGUGCACUCUUCUGCGGGCAGGCCAGCAUCAGUUUGGGCGGUUGGAUAAAGGUCUCUGUCAUGUACCUCUCUUCGGGGAGGCCUUAUAGGGGAGACGUCAUGCAACCAGCCUGGACUGAGGUCCGCGCAUUUAUGCUAGGAUGCUGGCGUAAUGGCUGUAAGCGGCCCGUCUUGAAACACGGACCAAGGAGUCUAACAUCUAUGCGAGUGUUUGGGUGUCAAGCCCGAACGCGUAAUGAAAGUGAACGGAGGUGGGACCCCAUUAGGGUGCACCAUCGACCGAUCCUGAUGUCUUCGGAUGGAUUUGAGUAAGAGCAUGGCUGUUGGGACCCGAAAGAUGGUGAACUAUGCUUGAAUAGGGUGAAGCCAGAGGAAACUCUGGUGGAGGCUCGCAGCGGUUCUGACGUGCAAAUCGAUCGUCAAAUUUGGGCAUAGGGGCGAAAGACUAA
Molecule: ribosomal RNA, 850 nt
Filed under: Camarosporidiella arborescentis
Lineage: Eukaryota; Fungi; Ascomycota; Dothideomycetes; Pleosporales
Description: eukaryotic LSU rRNA
Rfam family: Eukaryotic large subunit ribosomal RNA
Source: RNAcentral